This 461-nucleotide ribosomal RNA is filed under the name uncultured Ignavibacteriales bacterium. Its description in RNAcentral is "bacterial SSU rRNA". It matches the Rfam family "Bacterial small subunit ribosomal RNA", at positions 342 to 795 of the family's 1533-position model. Lineage: Bacteria; Pseudomonadati; Ignavibacteriota; Ignavibacteria; Ignavibacteriales. The record is from RNAcentral.
CGGGUGGCUGCAGUGAGGAAUAUUGGGCAAUGCCCGAAAGGGUGACCCAGCAACGCCGCGUGGAGGAUGAAGUCCUUUUGGAUGUAAACUCCUGUUGGAAGGGACGAAUAAUUAAUGCCCGUAAGAGCAUUAGUCUGACGGUACCUUCAAAGAAAGCACCGGCUAACUACGUGCCAGCAGCCGCGGUAAUACGUAGGGUGCAAGCGUUGUCCGGAUUUACUGGGUGUAAAGGGCGCGCAGGCGGACCUUUAAGUCAUGGGUGAAAUCUUUCCGCUUAACGGAAAAACUGCCCCUGAUACUAUUGGUCUUGAGUUCGGUAGAGGGAGAUGGAAUUCCAGGUGUAGCGGUGAAAUGCGUAGAUAUCUGGAAGAACACCGGUGGCGAAGGCGAUCUCCUGGCCCGAAACUGACGCUCAGGCGCGAAAGCGUGGGUAGCAAACAGGAUUAGAUACCCCGGUAGUC